UGAAUAAGUGUGUGAAUCCAUAAGGUGUGAUGGUCAUGUUAAUGGUUGACUAAUCUAAUCGUCUUGUGGAUAUGAUAUGGUAGUUUGACUCUGACAAGCUUGGUAGGAGCUUGGAAAUGAACGGGUCAAAUGGAUACAAGUUCAAGUAUGAAGCUCGCAAGGAUGCAAGGAGUGAACCGGAAGUGGAUAAUUGCGUCGCUAUAAAGUAGCGGCUAAUAAAAGCAAGGUAUAAAACGAGUUUAUAUGUUGACCCGAGCCAGGUGAAUGUAGCUACCAUCCGGGUGUCGAUCAAGCAAUGAAGUGAACCGAACACUAUGCAGUUACAAGCUUCCGCACAUAGUUUCGUCGUUAUUUUUAAACGAGGAACUCAAUUACAUUACGUUGUAUUGUUCUUUAAUUGUAAAAGUUUUAAUAAACCCGUAUUUUUCAAUAUAUGUGUAUCCAUAAUUACAUAUUUAUUUUCGUAAACCA
Molecule: long non-coding RNA, 471 nt
Organism: Helianthus annuus (common sunflower)
Lineage: Eukaryota; Viridiplantae; Streptophyta; Magnoliopsida; Asterales; Asteraceae
Exons: 3
Source: RefSeq, a predicted model, not a curated record